This 301-nucleotide ribosomal RNA is filed under the name uncultured bacterium. RNAcentral's name for it is "partial 16S ribosomal RNA". It matches the Rfam family "Bacterial small subunit ribosomal RNA", at positions 512 to 810 of the family's 1533-position model. The record is from RNAcentral.
CAGCCGCGGUAAUACAGAGGGUGCGAGCGUUAAUCGGAUUUACUGGGCGUAAAGCGUGCGUAGGCGGCUUCUUAAGUCGGAUGUGAAAUCCCUGAGCUUAACUUAGGAAUUGCAUUCGAUACUGGGAAGCUAGAGUAUUGGAGAGGAUGGUAGAAUUCCAGGUGUAGCGGUGAAAUGCGUAGAGAUCUGGAGGAAUACCGAUGGCGAAGGCAGCCAUCUGGCCUAAUACUGACGCUGAGGUACGAAAGCAUGGGGAGCAAACAGGAUUAGAUACCCCUGUAGUCCCUGUCUCUUAUACACA